Molecule: non-coding RNA, 139 nt
Filed under: uncultured eukaryote
Lineage: Eukaryota
Source: RNAcentral
GACGCAAAAAAAAUGAAUGCAAAAGCAAAAGCAAAAAAGCAAAAAAAUGGAAAGCAGAGCAAAGCAAUAAACAAUCAAAAUUCUCUCCUUCCCUCCGACGCAAUUUUUUUUUUUUUUAAAAGACGCACUCUCUUUCUCC